AACGAACGCUGGCGGCAGGCCUAACACAUGCAAGUCGAGCGAGGUAGCAAUACCUAGCGGCGGACGGGUGAGUAACGCGUGGGAACGUACCCUUUGGUUCGGAAUAGCCCCGGGAAACUGGGAGUAAUACCGGAUACGGUCGAGAGACGAAAGAUUUAUCGCCGAAGGAUCGGCCCGCGUUGGAUUAGGUAGUUGGUGGGGUAAUGGCCUACCAAGCCGACGAUCCAUAGCUGGUUUGAGAGGAUGAUCAGCCACACUGGGACGUGAGACACGGCCCAGACUCCUACGGGAGGCAGCAGUGGGGAAGUCUUGUGCAAUGGGCGCAAGCCUGACACAGCAACGCCGCGUGCGGGAAGAAGGCCUCGGUCGUAACCGACUUCUACGCAGGAAC
This 391-nucleotide ribosomal RNA is filed under the name uncultured bacterium. Its description in RNAcentral is "bacterial SSU rRNA". It matches the Rfam family "Bacterial small subunit ribosomal RNA", at positions 29 to 447 of the family's 1533-position model. The record is from RNAcentral.